Mytilus californianus (California mussel) is the source of this 865-nucleotide long non-coding RNA. RefSeq lists it as uncharacterized. The record is from RefSeq and is a predicted model, not a curated record. Lineage: Eukaryota; Metazoa; Mollusca; Bivalvia; Mytilida; Mytilidae. The transcript has 2 exons.
UGAUGUUUUUAUAAACAUUUACCCUUACCGUGGAUCAAGUCGUUAAAAAUGGAAAACUAUAGUCUGAAGUUCAGCUUGGCGUCCAUUUCGCUGAACUAGUAUACAUAAUGUUUAGGGGCCAGCUGAUGCCCGCCUCAGGGUGCGGACAUUUUCUCGCUGUGUUGUAGAUCCAUUGGUGGCCUUGGGCUGUUUUCUGCUCUUUGGUCGGGUUGUUGUUUAAUGGACACAUUCCCCGUUUCCAUUCUCAAUCCUACAUUAUAACAACCUUUUUUAUUAAUAAUUACACAACGACUUUAAACAAAUCAUGGAAUUGGAAACAGUAGGAUGUUCGUCGUCAGGAAUUGUUUUUCUCAUUAACGACCCUGCCGAUGAGGAGACGUCAGAUUUUAUUCGAGAGAAACUUUCCGACAAUAACAUACUUUGCCAUGGACUGUAUGAGACCCCUAGUAAAAAGCUACUUCAAGUAUUUAUCAAUUUGGCUCCUUCAGUAAAGAAAGCUGUAUUUCUCUUCUCAUAUUCAUCUUCAAGAAAUAAAAUGUUUCAGCACAUAAUGCUUGACUUCCGGUUUGAAGAAGUGAAAAGCGGUAAUUUUUUUUUACCACAAAACAACGUUAUUUAAGCAUAUUUUGUAAUAUAUUCAACCCAUAGAAAAUAAAACUGUGAACAACAAUCAUCAUGUUCAGGGGAAGGUGACAAUUGAAUACGGCAUAUCGUUUAAUUUACAUUUAAUCGUUCUUACCUAUAUGAUACAGCCAAUCACCCAAAUAAAACGUAAACAUGAGUAUACCAGAUAAUGAUGUUGUUGAUAUAGGUUUAGAAAAAAUGAAGAAUACUUAUCCAAUCAAUGACACUUUUAAAUCAAAAC